ACUCCAUUCUCACUAAGAGGGCGGCUUCCGCCUCGUGCACUAGGAAAUACGUACCGCCCUCGACCAGUGAGUUGGCGAAUGAAAUUUAAAUGCCCCUGUGCCUGAUGGCUCAACGGAACUAUAUGAGGCAGCUUCAUUUUCAUUUUUUCGGCGGGAAUCUCCCAGCGUUCCUCCUCCCAGUUAAUCUCGUUCCACUCCAUGUGGCGAAUCUCGCCGGGCCGUUGAAAGAGCAGGGCGGAUAGUUGAAGGGCUGUUUUAACGGCAGGUGUCCCCUGAAAUGAAUCGAUUGCCACCAAUAACGCUCCAGCUUCCGCGGGGU
This 319-nucleotide ribosomal RNA is filed under the name uncultured eukaryote. RNAcentral's name for it is "partial small subunit ribosomal RNA". The record is from RNAcentral.